GACGAACGCUGGCGGCGUGCCUAACACAUGCAAGUCGAGCGGAGACAGUGAGUAGCUUGCUAUGAGCUGUUUUAGCGGCGGACGGGUGAGUAACGCGUGAGCAGCCUUUCCCAGACAGGGGAAUAACACACCGAAAGGUGUACUAAUACCGCAUAAGACCACGGUUUCACAUGGAACUGAGGUAAAAGAUUUAUCGGUUUGGGGUGGGCUCGCGUCCGAUUAGGUAGUUGGUGAGGUAACGGCCCACCAAGCCGACGAUCGGUAGCCGACCUGAGAGGGUGAUCGGCCACAUUGGGACUGAGACACGGCCCAAACUCCUACGGGAGGCAGCAGUGGGGAAUAUUGGGCAAUGGAGGAAACUCUGACCCAGCAACGCCGCGUGGAGGAAGAAGGUUUUCGGAUCGUAAACUCCUGUC
RNAcentral lists this ribosomal RNA (416 nucleotides) under uncultured bacterium. RNAcentral describes it as "bacterial SSU rRNA". It matches the Rfam family "Bacterial small subunit ribosomal RNA", at positions 28 to 437 of the family's 1533-position model. The record is from RNAcentral.